RNAcentral lists this ribosomal RNA (426 nucleotides) under Triticum aestivum (bread wheat). Its description in RNAcentral is "partial small subunit ribosomal RNA". The record is from RNAcentral. Lineage: Eukaryota; Viridiplantae; Streptophyta; Magnoliopsida; Poales; Poaceae.
AUGUGUGAAUGGUGUCAUUUUCCAGCCAGUCACGACUUCUUUCACCACUUAUGUGUUCUCCCAGCGCCGAAGAGCAGCCAUAUGAUGACGCUCAUGGAAGCGAUAAUGACCAUGACAUCGAGCACUAACAAGAUUAUCACACGCUUCUGGAGGUGGGUGCCUCUGUGGCAUUUUGGGAGAUUUAUCCUCGAGUCCCACUUGGCACAAAGCCCACAAUUUCCAAGGAAGCUGCGGUUGUACUUUGCAUGUUAUAGAGAGAAGGACACCUCCCCAUUGAGUUGGUUAAAUGACAAAUUGAGGGACACAAUUGAAUGGUUGCCGAAGUCAAGCGGGAUAUUGCAUGGUAGCUCGUUGUUGGACAAAUCAAGGAUUACCAGUGAUGAAAUCAUCUCAAUGCUCCAUGGCGGUAUUACACCUGAUAUAUGA